GACCGCGGACCAUGGACCAAACCGGCCCCGUCGGCGGCCCGGGCGAACGGACGGGCCCGGCGCGCGAGCCCACGAGGCCCAAGGACUGGGACGGAAGACUAUAAAUACCUCCCCUGGUCCAACAGGGGAGGGGGUUGAUAAUUCUGAGAGUUACACUUGUACUAGGUUGGACGGCGAGCUUACCCCGGCGAGCCCACACACCAAC
This 205-nucleotide long non-coding RNA is filed under the name Zostera marina. RNAcentral describes it as "long non-coding RNA (ZMAR_LNC000613)". The record is from RNAcentral. Lineage: Eukaryota; Viridiplantae; Streptophyta; Magnoliopsida; Alismatales; Zosteraceae.